AUGGAUCACAGAGAAGAGGAGGAAAUGUCGCUGUCCUUAUUCCACUGAAAAGGGAUCAGGAGUAAAAUCUUAGCUCUGUAAAGACCAGUGGAAAAAAUCCCAGACUUCAGGAGAAUCAGGAUUUUAUCCUAAAUCCUUUUAUUUUCCUGACACCCUUGGAUUAAUCAUCAUCAUCAUCAGUCCUGUGGUGGCUGUUAAUCCCUGCUCUGUGGAGUGAUAAAAAUCUUCCUGCCUGGCUGUAACUUGUGGUAAUUGGUCUCUGAAUGGAUUUUCUGUGG
Molecule: long non-coding RNA, 278 nt
Filed under: Junco hyemalis (dark-eyed junco)
Lineage: Eukaryota; Metazoa; Chordata; Aves; Passeriformes; Passerellidae
Description: lncRNA (ENSJHYG00000005105.1)
Source: RNAcentral